AACGCACAUUGCGCCCCUUGGUAUUCCGAGGGGCAUGCCUGUUCGAGCGUCAUUUACACCACUCAAGCCUAGCUUGGUAUUGGAGUCCGCACACCAGCGGCUCUUAAACUCAGUGGCGGCGCCGGUUGGCUCUUCGCGUAGUAAUUCUCUCGCGAUAGGGUCCGUCGGUAGCUUGCCAGCAAUCCCAAUUUUUUUAAGGUUGACCUCGGAUCAGGUAGGGAUACCCGCUGAACUUAA
RNAcentral lists this unclassified non-coding RNA (237 nucleotides) under Cortinarius sp. RNAcentral's name for it is "partial contains 5.8S ribosomal RNA, internal transcribed spacer 2, and large subunit ribosomal RNA". The stretch from base 1 to 52 matches the Rfam family "5.8S ribosomal RNA", at positions 103 to 154 of the family's 154-position model. The record is from RNAcentral. Lineage: Eukaryota; Fungi; Basidiomycota; Agaricomycetes; Agaricales; Cortinariaceae.